Neisseria animaloris is the source of this 82-nucleotide non-coding RNA. The record is from Rfam. Lineage: Bacteria; Pseudomonadati; Pseudomonadota; Betaproteobacteria; Neisseriales; Neisseriaceae.
GCGGAAGUGGCGAAAUUGGUAGACGCACUGGAUUUAGGUUCCAGCGCCGCAAGGUGUGAGAGUUCGAGUCUCUCCUUCCGCA